GAUGAAGAACGUAGCGAAAUGCGAUAAGUAGUGUGAAUUGCAGAAUUCAGUGAAUCAUCGAAUCUUUGAGCGCACAUUGCGCCCUUUGGUAUUCCUUAGGGCAUGCCUGUUCGAGCGUCAUUUAAACCUUCAAGCUAAGCUUGGUGUUGGGUGACUGUCCGCUUCACGGCGGACUCGCCUCAAAAUUAUUGGCGGCCGGUACAUUGGCUUCGAGCGCAGCAGAAACGCGAACUCGGGCCCGUCGUAUUGGCUCCCAGAAGCUAUCUUCACAAUUUUGACCUCGGAUCAGGUAGGGGUACCCGCUGAACUUAAGCAUAUCAAUAAGCGGAGGA
Molecule: unclassified non-coding RNA, 332 nt
Filed under: soil metagenome
Description: partial contains 5.8S ribosomal RNA, internal transcribed spacer 2, and large subunit ribosomal RNA
Rfam family: 5.8S ribosomal RNA (bases 1-120)
Source: RNAcentral